Molecule: ribosomal RNA, 120 nt
Filed under: Petromyzon marinus (sea lamprey)
Lineage: Eukaryota; Metazoa; Chordata; Hyperoartia; Petromyzontiformes; Petromyzontidae
Source: RNAcentral
UCAUAUGCCCAUGUCACCCAGAACGUGCCCGAUUUCAUCAGAUAUCCGACGCUUAGCCGGUUUUGAGGCUGGAUAGUGCUUGGAUGGGCGACCACCAUGCGCACCAGAUUGUCAAAGGCG